Molecule: ribosomal RNA, 503 nt
Filed under: uncultured bacterium
Lineage: Bacteria
Description: partial 16S ribosomal RNA
Rfam family: Bacterial small subunit ribosomal RNA
Source: RNAcentral
AUUGAACGCUGGCGGCAGGCUUAACACAUGCAAGUCGAGCGGGGUGAUGGUGCUUGCACUAUCACUUAGCGGCGGACGGGUGAGUAAUGCUUAGGAAUCUGCCUAUUAGUGGGGGACAACAUCUCGAAAGGGAUGCUAAUACCGCAUACGUCCUACGGGAGAAAGCAGGGGAUCACUUGUGACCUUGCGCUAAUAGAUGAGCCUAAGUCGGAUUAGCUAGUUGGUGGGGUAAAGGCCUACCAAGGCGACGAUCUGUAGCGGGUCUGAGAGGAUGCUCCGCAACACUGGGACGGGGACACGGCCCAGACGCCUACGGGAGGCAGCAGGGGGGAAUAUUUGCAAAUGGGGGGAACCCUGAUCCAGCCAUGCCGCGUGUGUGAAGAAGGCCUUAUGGUUGUAAAGCACUUUAAGCGAGGAGGAGGCUCUUUUGGUUAAUACCCAAGAUGAGUGGACGUUACUCGCAGAAUAAGCACCGGCUAACUCUGUGCCAGCAGCCGCAGUAA